UACGAAGGGUGCAAGCGUUACUCGGAAUUACUGGGCGUAAAGCGUGCGUAGGCGGUUUGUUAAGUCCGCUGUGAAAGCCCUGGGCUCAACCUGGGAAUUGCAGUGGAUACUGGCAAGCUAGAGUGCGGUAGAGGAUGGUGGAAUUCCCGGUGUAGCGGUGAAAUGCGUAGAUAUCGGAAGGAACACCAGUGGCGAAAGCGGCUUCCUGGUCCAGCACCGACGUUCAGGCACGAAAGCGUGGGGAGCAAACAGG
This 253-nucleotide ribosomal RNA is filed under the name uncultured bacterium. RNAcentral's name for it is "partial 16S ribosomal RNA". It matches the Rfam family "Bacterial small subunit ribosomal RNA", at positions 524 to 776 of the family's 1533-position model. The record is from RNAcentral.